This 468-nucleotide ribosomal RNA is filed under the name uncultured bacterium. RNAcentral's name for it is "partial 16S ribosomal RNA". It matches the Rfam family "Bacterial small subunit ribosomal RNA", at positions 28 to 507 of the family's 1533-position model. The record is from RNAcentral.
GACGAACGCUGGCGGCGUGCUUAACACAUGCAAGUCGAACGGAAAGGCCCUGCUUUUGUGGGGUGCUCGAGUGGCGAACGGGUGAGUAACACGUGAGUAACCUGCCCUUGACUUUGGGAUAACUUCAGGAAACUGGGGCUAAUACCGGAUAGGAGCUCCUGCUGCAUGGCGGGGGUUGGAAAGUUUCGGCGGUUGGGGAUGGACUCGCGGCUUAUCAGCUUGUUGGUGGGGUAGUGGCUUACCAAGGCUUUGACGGGUAGCCGGCCUGAGAGGGUGACCGGCCACAUUGGGACUGAGAUACGGCCCAGACUCCUAUGGGAGGCAGCAGUGGGGAAUAUUGCACAAUGGGCGGAAGCCUGAUGCAGCAACGCCGCGUGCGGGAUGACGGCCUUCGGGUUGUAAACCGCUUUCGCCUGUGACGAAGCGUGAGUGACGGUAAUGGGUAAAGAAGCACCGGCUAACUACGUG